CAGAGGGGGCAAGCGUUGUUCGGAAUUACUGGGCGUAAAGGGCGCGUAGGCGGCCUGCUAAGUCGAACGUGAAAUCCCUGGGCUCAACCCAGGAACUGCGUCCGAGACUGGUUGGCUUGAAUCCGGGAGAGGGAUGUGGAAUUCCAGGUGUAGCGGUGAAAUGCGUAGAUAUCUGGAGGAACACCGGUGGCGAAGGCGGCAUCCUGGACCGGUAUUGACGCUGAUGCGCGAAAGCCAGGGGAGCAAACGGGAUUAGAUACCCCGGUAGUCCUGGCCCUAAACGAUGAAUGCUUGGUGUGGCGGGUAUCGAUCCCUGCCGUGCCGAAGCUAACGCAUUAAGCAUUCCGCCUGGGGAGUACGGUCGCAAGGCUG
Molecule: ribosomal RNA, 372 nt
Filed under: uncultured organism
Description: bacterial SSU rRNA
Rfam family: Bacterial small subunit ribosomal RNA
Source: RNAcentral